GGGAGGCAGCAGUGGGGAAUAUUGGNCAAUGGGCGCAAGCCUGAUCCAGCCAUACCGCGUGGGUGAAGAAGGCCUUCGGGUUGUAAAGCCCUUUUGUUGGGAAAGAAAUCCAGNCGGCUAAUACCCGGUUGGGAUGACGGUACCCAAAGAAUAAGCNCCGGCUAACUUCGUGCCAGCAGCCGCGGUAAUACGAAGGGUGCAAGCGUUACUCGGAAUUACUGGGCGUAAAGCGUGCGUAGGUGGUCGUUUAAGUCCGUUGUGAAAGCCCUGGGCUCAACCUGGGAACUGCAGUGGAUACUGGGCGACUAGAGUGUGGUAAAGGGUANCGGAAUUCCUGGUGUAGCAGUGAAAUGCGUAAAGAUCNGGAGGAACAUCCAUGGCGAAGGCAGCUACCUGGACCAACACUGACACUGAGGCACGAAAGCGUGGGGAGCAAACAGGAUUAGAUACCCUGGUAGUCCACGCCCUAAACGAUGCGAACUGGAUGUUGGGUGCAAUUUGGCACGCAGUAUCGAANCUAACGCGUUAAGUUCGCCGCCUGGGGAGUACGGUCGCAAGACUGAAACUCAAAGGAAUU
Molecule: ribosomal RNA, 577 nt
Filed under: uncultured bacterium
Lineage: Bacteria
Description: bacterial SSU rRNA
Rfam family: Bacterial small subunit ribosomal RNA
Source: RNAcentral